This 51-nucleotide small RNA is filed under the name Salmonella enterica. RNAcentral's name for it is "RtT sRNA". It matches the Rfam family "RtT RNA", at positions 39 to 89 of the family's 130-position model. From Rfam's summary of the family: This family represents a bacterial cis-regulatory element known as RtT RNA. Lineage: Bacteria; Pseudomonadati; Pseudomonadota; Gammaproteobacteria; Enterobacterales; Enterobacteriaceae. The record is from RNAcentral.
AGGUUCGACUCGAGCGAAGCGAGAAAACGUUGCACGAGCAACGGCCCGCAG